AGGGUUUCGUCGGCAUCAAAGUGGCAAAGUUCAGAUUGAGGGAGAGGGUGAGAGAGAGAGAGAGAGAGAGAACUCCAUCAAGACGAACAAAAGGAUGCCUGGGCUUGGAAACUAUAGCAUGGAUAUGAAAACCGCAGUUUCGACUGGUGUGUGUAUGCGUGUGUGCGUGUGUCUGUGUGUGUCUGUAUGUGUGUGUGUGUGCCUGCGUGUAUUUUAAAGGUUUCUUUGAACUGCCUUUGUGCUGAGUCGGCGCUGCUUCUUGCCAAUGCAAGUCACGGUCAUACGAACUUUGUGUUAACCUUUUAUGUCGAAUGAAUCUUUUCAUUUGGAAAGCCAUAAAUCUCAUUCCGUAGCUCCUUUUGUGCAACGCGCUACGACUUAGUAAGCCAAGUGUGCGUUCAACAACAAAAAAAGUAGGAAAACAAAAGUUGCAACCGAUAGAAAGUAUAACUUUAAAAGCAAACAAAAAAAUCAGAUUCCAGUGUAAAGUGCGGGACUGGCUGAUCACAGGAGGCAUCGAGGAAGCAAUCGAAGUGGAAACGGAGCGCACACAUGCACAACCAUGAGGAUAUCGAAAGGGAAUCCUUCAUCUCGAGUUGGCAUAUAUUUGCAGUUUUCGUUUUCGCAAAACAAAAGGAAAUUUGUUCGUCAAUUAAUGCCCAACAAUGUCUCCACACCUGUCGUUCAAAGAGUUCAGGCACCAAGUGGACGCCAUGAACAGACCAACCCGUGCUUCUGCUGGUCCUAUAAUCCUGUGGCAUGUGCUGAUGACAUCACAUGAUGUCCAUUGCCGGCAACAUCUAGUUCCCUGCAACUGUCAUUUAAUGUUGCAAGCAAAUGAAAAAUGACUGAGAGACUCACUGGCUCCCAGAAGUGACCUUGAGUAUUAUUAGAAUGACCUCCCAUCGGUUUGACCAGAAGACCUUUGAUAUCUGCAUGAAGAAAAUAUACGAGUGAGAUGCCUGGUCUACCGAUAGAAAGGACAAUGAUCAGCGAGAAUAGCACAAUGCUGAAGCGAAGUUGCAGCUCAUGGCUGCCAACAUUGAAAAGUGAUCGCUGUACAUAACGUGAAUCACUGUAUCCAUUGCUCUGAGAAUUGUGUUCUUUAAUGCAAAUCUUUAUAUGUAUAUAAAAACAUUCAUUUAAAAGGCCCCAGGCUUGCAUAGGAUACACACGCGCGCGCGCGCGCGCACAUAGAGAAAUAUUUCUCGGGCCCCUGUCGGUUGGAAAUGAAUCUGACAGUCAAUAGAGUUCCACUCCUCCCAACGCACUUUCUGUUACAGACUUUCUCAAGCCAUAGUCAGGAAGAAAACUGUAAGGGAAGUCACAUGUUUUGAAUGGUUGGUUCAUGGAGUAGACCAAAGCUUUUCUUGAUCAAAAAUUAUAAGUAAGUCGAAUUCUUUGAUGUAAUCAGCUUUUCACGUAGUCCCUUCCUUCCCGAAGCAAAGUCUAAAUACUACUGUGCUCUAAUCAGCUCAGACACUCUAAGCACUUCCCACGACUAAUUCGAUAUCCUGAAAACAAAUUACUGAAGACUGAUUACGGGAGGGAAGGUUAGGUCUACUGCUGUGCUUUCACCCACUGCUUCGGUCAUCUCUCUCCGUCAGUCGCUUCCUCCCUUCUCCAUAUUUCAUACGAUUUUUAAUAAUAGUCUCCCCUGCCUCUUUUCCAGAUUCCAACCCCUUUCUUCCUCUUUAAGUAGUUUUUCCUCGAGUUUCUUGACUUUUUUCUUGGUUUCUGUGCUUUACCCACCAUUGUGCCAAACUGAAGCACACCUUACUUUGUGUUUGCAUUUUGAGGCUAUUAAUGAACUCACUCUCGUCGAUUGUUCUCCCUCCGCUGUGUAUCCUGGUGGUAACAAUACAUAGUAGAUGUGAUGUCAUGUACAAUUAGGCUUUGUUCACAAGCGCAGACAUCCCUAACCCCAAAAUGCAUCUAUUCGGGAUAUUUGACACCAGCAAAAUUCUCAACUGCAAAGCUAAUCCCGUCAUUGUUCAAAUAAAAUCAGCCAUUUCGUUGAUUCAGCCAGGGGCUAACAAUUCACCAUAACUGGUAUUAUUACAAAAUCAGAGGGCCCACCUCCUCAGUACAACACAACCCAUAGGGUCCAUACCUACCUACAAUUAGCUACAUACAUGAAGCUGCGUACCACAUGCAAACAUUUGCAGCAGUAAAGGGUCUCUCUGUUCAUCCCCUCCCCACCUCCCAAAUCACCUCGGCAUCCUGCCUCAUCCCACUCCCACCCUCCCCAAUCCCUUUCUCAAUAUAAAGCAAGCUGUUCACUUUUAAUCCAUCUUGAAAUUAAUACCGAUAUUGUCACGUGCAGAUUGUGACCGUGGUGUACUUGAGUUGAGCUAAAGCCUUUUCCCCUACGUGCGUUGGCCAGUAUGAUAAAGUGGUUCCUUUCGAAAUGGAGCGUGCUGAAUUACGUAUGUUACAAAGUUGGAAAAAGAGAUCUUUCAAAGGCAGCAUAUUCAAUCCAAUCAAAUAAUAUUGUGAUCUUCAUCUGUGACAAUAUAGAACCCUAAUUAAAUAAACACAUGGGAAGCAGUAGAUCUGCCUUUCUUUCGUUUCAUAGCUGCAUUUUCAUUGUGUAUGUUGUUCAUUGUCCACAUUCAUUGUGUAUAUGGUUCAUACUGAGCAUAUAAGAAAAAAGUUAGGAUGGUAAAAUGCACAGCCUUUAACGUCAUCGAAAAAGCAAGGAUUGUGCAGACUGGCCACUAUAGUUUGUAAAUUAUAGUAUUCAAAAGUCACCAAAUACUUAAAGGGGUUAAGCAAGAAGAGCAAGGACAUGCAUUUCACAAUCAUUGGGAUCAAAGCAAUGCUGAUUCUCUGCUUUGGUUGUUAGGAAAACUUACAACAAGAGACUCGUUAACACCUUAAGGUUCACCUUGUCCCCUAUCGUUAAUCUAUCACAAAUCAGUAGAAUGGGAUCCAUAGAAAGUGGCUUUAAAACUAUAUUUUUGUGAUCAGCGAUCAUUCAUCACGUCAUAUGUUUACGAACGGAGGUUAGGGUAAUUUCUCACGUUAAACCAGCAAACAAUAUGUACACGAGGACAAGUCUCCCAUAAUGUAGAGUUGCAACAACUUUCUUGUUGUAUUCUUACGAGUAUUCUCUGCGGGUGAUUACAAAAAAAAAGCACCCGCAGAUAUAAAUUGAACUAAAAUGUGCUUGACCGAAGGGUGGACAUCGCAGGAAUGCUUGGUUGAGCACAGUCAUCCCUUUCUGCAUUAUAAUGUGUGAUCUGGGAAACCUAUCAAUUUAUUUCUGUGCACUUUGAACAGAGUGAAGGCUUUGCUCAGUCAAGGCGAAGGUGACAAACCUUUUGGGGUAACAGAAUGUAUGAUUCGCUUCUUUUCCAUUAGACUAUGGGUCAGAAAGACUGUCGAUAAUGGAUGCUCCCAGUGAGCGAUUAAAACAGGUUCCAAGAGGGCAUCGAAUGACUAUUUAAAUAGAAACAAUGUACAAGGUUUGGGGGAAGCCAGUUUAACACGAAGUCAAAAUGCUCAGAGGACCGGUACAGACACGAUGGACAGAAUAACCUCCUUGUACGGUUACAAUCCCGCGACUCUGUGAAUAAAACAAAAACAAAAUUAGUUAAAUCUAAAGGUCAGUACAGCUGUCACCAUGUCUUUAACGAACAAAAGGACAAGACACAUUACUGGAGAACAGCACAACUUUUGUAUCAAUGAAUUCACUUUCUGUGGAUUUUUCGUUCACUGAUCCAAAGCUGCUAAUCCCUCUCUGCCGAGAACAUUCUCUCUCCGUAAGUUUUCUCUCACCCCCACACCCCAACCCCCAUCAAUAAAAUGAAACCUGCUUUCAGUAACUAAUUGGGUCGGUUAUUGUCUGUGUUCAAUGUUUUUCGUCAGGACCCGAGUAGAGACGGGAUUUCUGGAACUCUAUUGCCUGCUUUCCAAAUAAUGUUAGACAUUAUCUGUUAGCAUUACACAGGAAUCAAAGCUCAGAAAAUAUAUUCAUUCAUUUUUAUUCAGAUUUGAUGACAGUAAAAAUGCCAGAUUGGAAUAGCAG
Molecule: long non-coding RNA, 4033 nt
Organism: Stegostoma tigrinum
Lineage: Eukaryota; Metazoa; Chordata; Chondrichthyes; Orectolobiformes; Stegostomatidae
Exons: 3
Source: RefSeq, a predicted model, not a curated record